RNAcentral lists this ribosomal RNA (1053 nucleotides) under uncultured soil eukaryote. RNAcentral's name for it is "SSU rRNA". It matches the Rfam family "Eukaryotic small subunit ribosomal RNA", at positions 15 to 1059 of the family's 1831-position model. The record is from RNAcentral.
UGCCAGUAGUCAUAUGCUUGUCUUAAAGAUUAAGCCAUGCAUGUCUAAGUAUAAGUAAUUUUUACAGCGAGACUGCGAACGGCUCAUUAAAAUCAGUUAUAGUUUCUUUGAUGACCUACUUUAAUUGGAUAACUGUGGAAAAUCUAGAGCUAAUACAUGCAAACCAACUUGAACAAGUUGGAUUUAUCAGAGUUGAAACCAAACUGGGUGUAAAAGCUCAGUUUCAGAUGAAUCAUGAUAACUUACCUAAUUGCACAGCCUUUUGAGCUGGCAAUAUUUCAUUCAAAUUUCUGCCCUAUCAACUGUCGACUGUAGUACAGUUGGCUACAAGGGUGAUAACGGGUACGGGGAAUUAGGGUUCGACUCCGGAGAUGGAGCCUGAGAAACGGCUACAACUUCCAAGGAAGGCAGCAGGCGCGCAAAUUACCCAAUCCCAAUUCGGGGAGGUAGUGACAAUAAAUAACAAUACUGGUCCUGAAAAGGGGCCAGUAAUUGGAAUGAGUGUAAUGUAGACACCUUAACGAGGAACAAUUAGAGGAAAAGUCUGGUGCCAGCACCCGCGGUAAUUCCAGCUCUAAGAGCGUAUAUUAAAGUUGUUGCAGUUAAAAAGCUCGUAGUUGGAUUGCAGUAAACUUAAAAGCACCUGGUCUGCUAGAAAUUAAGCAAGUACUGGUGUUUUUUUACUUCCUUCUGGUAACUUCUAUUUCCUCUUUACUGAGGGAGUGGUUUAAAGGACCAGAUCAUUUACCUUGAAAAAAUUAGAGUGUUUAAAGCAGGCUGUCACGCUUGAAUAGAUUAGCAUGGGAUAAUAAAAUAGGGUAUCCUACUUAUAUUUAGUUGGUUUCUAAGUUGGAUACAAUGAUUAAUAGAGACAGUUGGGGAUAUUUAUAUUAGGCUGUCAGAGGUGAAAUUCUUGGAUUAGCCAAAGAUAAACUACUGCGAAAGCAUUUAUCAAGGAUGCACUCAUUGAUCAAGAACGAAAGUUAGGGGAUCGAAGACGAUCAGAUACCGUCGUAGUCUUAACCAUAAACUAUGCGGACCAGGGAUUGGAGG